This 191-nucleotide microRNA precursor is filed under the name Oryza brachyantha (malo sina). RNAcentral describes it as "MIR812 microRNA precursor family". It matches the Rfam family "MIR812 microRNA precursor family". The record is from Rfam by way of RNAcentral. Lineage: Eukaryota; Viridiplantae; Streptophyta; Magnoliopsida; Poales; Poaceae.
AAUAAAUCAAUUUUUCACUUUUUACCUACAAUUUUUGACUCUUCGUCUUAUUCAAAUUUUUUUGCGAUUGAUAUUUUUGUUUUUUAUUAGAUGAUAAAUCAUGAAUAGUAUUUUAUGUGUGACUAACUUUUUUCUAAUUUUCUGAAAAUUUCUCAAAUAAGACGGAUGGUCAAACGUUGGAUAUGGAAACC